This 433-nucleotide ribosomal RNA is filed under the name uncultured bacterium. Its description in RNAcentral is "partial 16S ribosomal RNA". It matches the Rfam family "Bacterial small subunit ribosomal RNA", at positions 29 to 507 of the family's 1533-position model. The record is from RNAcentral.
AACGAACGCUGGCGGCAUGCCUAACACAUGCAAGUCGAACGAGACCUUCGGGUCUAGUGGCGCACGGGUGCGUAACGCGUGGGAACCCGCCCUUAGGUUCGGAAUAACUCCCCGAAAGGGGUGCUAAUACCGGAUAAUGUCUUCGGACCAAAGAUUUAUCGCCUUUGGAUGGGCCCGCGUUGGAUUAGCUAGUUGGUAGGGUAAAAGCCUACCAAGGCGACGAUCCAUAGCUGGUCUGAGAGGAUGAUCAGCCACACUGGGACUGAGACACGGCCCAGACUCCUACGGGAGGCAGCAGUGGGGAAUAUUGGACAAUGGGCGAAAGCCUGAUCCAGCAAUGCCGCGUGAGUGAUGAAGGCCUUAGGGUUGUAAAGCUCUUUUACCCGGGAUGACAAUGACAGUACCGGGAGAAUAAGCUCCGGCUAACUCCGUG